CCUACGGGUGGCAGCAGUGGGGAAUAUUGCUCAAUGGGCGAAACCCUGAACCAGCAACGCCGCGUGAAGGAUGACGGUUUUCGGGUUGUAAACUCCUUUUGUUCGGGAAGCUAAUGACGCUAUCUAACGAAUAAGCACCGGCUAACUCCGUGCCAGCAGCGGCGGUCAUCCGGCGGGUACACGCGGUAAUCUGAAUUACUUGGCGUAAAGGGCGCGUAGGCGGGAUAGCAAGUCACAUGGGAAAUACUAGGGGUUAACCCUAGAAGUGCAGUUGAAACUGUUGUUCUUGAGUAUGGGAGAGGUAGGCGGAAUGCGUGGUGUAGGGGUAAAAUGCGUAGAGAUCACGAGGAAUACCCAUUGCGAAGGCGACCUGCUAGAACAUAACUGACGCUGAAGCGCGAAAGCGUGGGUAGCAAACAGGAUUAGAUACCCUUGUAGUC
This 440-nucleotide ribosomal RNA is filed under the name uncultured bacterium. Its description in RNAcentral is "partial 16S ribosomal RNA". It matches the Rfam family "Bacterial small subunit ribosomal RNA", at positions 338 to 795 of the family's 1533-position model. The record is from RNAcentral.